UUUAAUCCUGAAAAAAAAAGGGUUUAGGUGCCCUAUUUUAGGGUCUAUUAAGAGUAAUCUUUUUCCAAAGUUCAUUUCGAGAAUUCUAUGUACUGACUCUGUAUGAACAGAAAUAUUCUUAAUGCUAAAAUUAUUCAGUAAUUGUUAAUUUAGUGUUUCUAUUAAUAUUUAAACUAUAGAAUGUGUUUCAUUUUAGUUGUAGACCAUGUUAUAAGUAUCAACUUGUAAUCUUUCGCUGAUAGUUAUUGUGUUAAACUGUUAAUUAAUGAUUUAGUUUUGUGACACUUGUUAAAUUGUGCUCGAAAACAUUUGGGAAUGUGAAUGUUAAGGGAUGGACUUUGUUUUUCCAGUCAUUAAGCUCUCUAAUCUUAUGAUCUUAUCAUUGCCGUUUUGUCUGCCAGCGUUAUAUCAUCUUGUACUAGUCCUGUGAUAGAUUUUGUUGAAGCUGAAUUUAUUAGGACGAAGUGUAUUAAGAAAAAUGAUUCUAACAAAUGUGCACAAGAACAAAGACAUAAAAUAUUGAAGUUCAUAGCAAAUAAAUUGCAUAAUUAGCAGAGAGAAAAAUACGAGAAUAAAUGAGUGCUAUGAAAUCAACUGAAAUAUCAAACUUCUCAACUUGACUCAAUCCUUUAUCUCAAAUUUCUAACAAGAAAUGUAAAAUUUGAAUAAAAAAGGAUACAUCAAAAUGCUUGAAGAAUAGAUGUAGAAUACUUAUAACAAUUUCACAACUUCACUCAAUCCUGUUAGCUAUGUGUUUAAGAAUAUAUGUAACUAAACCAAUUACCAUAGCCUCAGAAUUUCAUCAUCACUUAGACCUCCACUUUCAUAAUAAUCGUAAGUAUGGUAAGAAUCAACAUCUGAUGGAGAAUACUCAUCUGAUUGAGAAUCAUCAUAAAUAUUCAUCAAGAGGA
RNAcentral lists this long non-coding RNA (911 nucleotides) under Trifolium pratense (red clover). Its description in RNAcentral is "long non-coding RNA (TPRA_LNC006822)". The record is from RNAcentral. Lineage: Eukaryota; Viridiplantae; Streptophyta; Magnoliopsida; Fabales; Fabaceae.